AGGACAAACGCUGGCGGCGUACCUAAGACAUGCAAGUCGAACGGGGCUCCGUGCUUCGGCGUGGAGUUGAGUGGCGAACGGGUGAGUAACGCGUAGGAACCUGUCGUUGAGUGGGGGAUAACGCUGGGAAACCGGUGCUAAUACCGCAUGAGGUUGCUGGGGGAGACUCUGGUAAAGAAAGCAGUAAUGCGCUCGAUGAGGGGCCUGUGUCCGAUUAGCUUGUUGGUGGGGUAAAGGCCUACCAAGGCGACGAUCGGUAGCUGGUCUGAGAGGAUGGUCAGCCACACUGGGACUGAGACACGGCCCAGACUCCUACGGGAGGCAGCAGUUAGGAAAUUUUCCCAAUGGGCGAAAGCCUGAGGGAGUAACGCCGCGUGCGGGAUGACGGCUUUCGGGUUGUAACCGCUUUUCUGUGGAAGAGUAGAAGACGGUACCGCAGGAAUAAGCCUCGGCUAACUACGCGCCAGCAGCCGC
RNAcentral lists this ribosomal RNA (474 nucleotides) under uncultured bacterium. RNAcentral's name for it is "SSU rRNA". It matches the Rfam family "Bacterial small subunit ribosomal RNA", at positions 26 to 518 of the family's 1533-position model. The record is from RNAcentral.